GACGAACGCUGGCGGCGUGCCUAAUACAUGCAAGUAGAACGCACAGUUUAUACCGUAGCUUGCUACACCAUAGACUGUGAGUUGCGAACGGGUGAGUAACGCGUAGGUAACCUGCCUGGUAGCGUGGGAUAACUAUUGGAAACGAUAGCUAAUACCGCAUAAUAUUGAUUAUUGCAUGAUAAUUGAUUGAAAGAUGCUAUUGCAUCACUACCAGAUGGACCUGCGUUGUAUUAGCUAGUAGGUGAGGUAACGGCUCACCUAGGCGACGAUACAUAGCCGACCUGCGAGGAUGAUCGGCCACACUGGGACGGAGACACGGCCCAGACUCCUACGGGAGGCAGCAGUAGGGAAUCUUCGGCAAUGGACGAAAGUCUGACCGAGCAACGCCGCGUGAGUGAAGAAGGUUUUCGGAUCGUAAAGCUCUGUUGUAAGAGAAGAACGGGUGUGAGAGUGGAAAGUUCACACUGUGACGGUAUCUUACCAGAAAGGGACGGCUAACUACGUG
Molecule: ribosomal RNA, 505 nt
Filed under: uncultured bacterium
Lineage: Bacteria
Description: partial 16S ribosomal RNA
Rfam family: Bacterial small subunit ribosomal RNA
Source: RNAcentral